CCAAAUUUGACAUAUACCUCUUUUGUGGCCUACCCGUGUGAGCAUUCGAAACUGUUUUGAACAACCUUUGAGCCUUAACUUUCUUUGAAAUAAUCUUGAUGAACCCUAAACCUUAGUUGACCCACUACCUAUAAUCCUUUUGAUUUGUGGUUUAGUGAAUAGCCAACUUAGACUAAGAGCCUAAGUUGGGGGUGUGGUAAAAACGAAAAGAAGAAGUCAAGAAGUGCAAGAAAAG
Molecule: long non-coding RNA, 235 nt
Filed under: Solanum tuberosum (potato)
Lineage: Eukaryota; Viridiplantae; Streptophyta; Magnoliopsida; Solanales; Solanaceae
Description: long non-coding RNA (STUB_LNC000055)
Source: RNAcentral